RNAcentral lists this ribosomal RNA (403 nucleotides) under uncultured bacterium. Its description in RNAcentral is "partial 16S ribosomal RNA". It matches the Rfam family "Bacterial small subunit ribosomal RNA", at positions 28 to 526 of the family's 1533-position model. The record is from RNAcentral.
GACGAACGCUGGCGGCGUGCCUAAUACAUGCAAGUCGAACGCAGUGGGGACGGGUGAGUAACACGUGGGUAACCUCCCAUCAGAGGGGAUAACACUUGGAAACAGGUGCUAAACCGAUACUGAUGGAUGGACCCGCGGUGCAUUAGCUAGUUGGUGAGGUAACGGCUCACCAAGGCCACGAUGCAUAGCCGGCCUGAGAGGAUGAUCGGCCACACUGGGACUGAGACACGGCCCAGACUCCUACGGGAGGCAGCAGUGGGGAAUCUUGGACAAUGGACGAAAGUCUGACCGAGCCACGCCGCGUGUGUGAAGAAGGUUUUCGGGUCGUAAAGCUCUGUUGUUGGAGAAGCGGUAUCUAACCAGGAAGCACCGGCUAACUACGUGCCAGCAGCCGCGGUAAUAC